GGCGGGGGGAGCUUGUAGGCAGGCUGAGAGGAAGUCAUUAACUUCGACCCUGAAACCUGAUUUGGGUAAUGCCAACGUAGGGAGUCUGAAAAAGUU
RNAcentral lists this non-coding RNA (96 nucleotides) under human gut metagenome. The record is from RNAcentral.